AAAUUGAAGAGUUUGAUCAUGGCUCAGAUUGAACGCUGGCGGCAGGCCUAACACAUGCAAGUCGAACGGUAACAGAAAGCAGCUUGCUGCUUUGCUGACGAGUGGCGGACGGGUGAGUAAUGUCUGGGAAACUGCCUGAUGGAGGGGGAUAACUACUGGAAACGGUAGCUAAUACCGCAUAACGUCGCAAGACCAAAGAGGGGGACCUUCGGGCCUCUUGCCAUCGGAUGUGCCCAGAUGGGAUUAGCUUGUUGGUGGGGUAACGGCUCACCAAGGCGACGAUCCCUAGCUGGUCUGAGAGGAUGACCAGCCACACUGGAACUGAGACACGGUCCAGACUCCUACGGGAGGCAGCAGUGGGGAAU
Molecule: ribosomal RNA, 365 nt
Filed under: Escherichia coli
Lineage: Bacteria; Pseudomonadati; Pseudomonadota; Gammaproteobacteria; Enterobacterales; Enterobacteriaceae
Description: bacterial SSU rRNA
Rfam family: Bacterial small subunit ribosomal RNA
Source: RNAcentral